UACGGGGGGGGCAAGCGUUGUUCGGAAUUACUGGGCGUAAAGGGCGCGUAGGCGGUUCGCUAAGUUGAAUGUGAAAACUCUGGGCUUAACCCAGAGCCUGCAUUCAAUACUGGCGGGCUAGAGUUCUGGAGGGGAUAGCGGAAUUCCUGGUGUAGCGGUGAAAUGCGUAGAUAUCAGGAGGAACACCGGUGGCGAAGGCGGCUAUCUGGACAGAGUCUGACGCUGAGGCACGAAAGCGUGGGAAGCAAACAGG
This 253-nucleotide ribosomal RNA is filed under the name uncultured bacterium. RNAcentral's name for it is "partial 16S ribosomal RNA". It matches the Rfam family "Bacterial small subunit ribosomal RNA", at positions 524 to 776 of the family's 1533-position model. The record is from RNAcentral.